GGGGUUGUGGCUCAGUGGUAGAGCACUUUCCUGGCAUGUGUGAGGCCCUGAGUUUGAUCCUCAGCACCA
RNAcentral lists this transfer RNA (69 nucleotides) under Ictidomys tridecemlineatus (thirteen-lined ground squirrel). RNAcentral's name for it is "Spermophilus tridecemlineatus (thirteen-lined ground squirrel) tRNA". It matches the Rfam family "tRNA". Rfam says of the family: Transfer RNA (tRNA) molecules are approximately 80 nucleotides in length. The record is from Rfam by way of RNAcentral. Lineage: Eukaryota; Metazoa; Chordata; Mammalia; Rodentia; Sciuridae.